Molecule: long non-coding RNA, 307 nt
Filed under: Elaeis guineensis (African oil palm)
Lineage: Eukaryota; Viridiplantae; Streptophyta; Magnoliopsida; Arecales; Arecaceae
Description: long non-coding RNA (EGUI_LNC069644)
Source: RNAcentral
UCAGACCCAUCGUUCACCAGUGGGUGCAAAGCCGUCAUUGGGACCCUUACUUAACAGUUAUUGUGCCCAAUUCUAUCUCUACCCCAGGAUAUCAAAUAUCAAUAAAGUGAUUGUACCUUCCUGAUUCAACCGAACUACUGUAACCAGUCGAGAAUGAUCAACGUCAGGAAGGCAUCCGCAUCUCUAAAAUGAUGGAAGACCUCUAGACUUAAUAUUUAAUGAGGAGAUUUGAGCUUAGAUCUUUUCUAAAUUAGUAGAUCUGACAUCUGACUGAUUAAAUUAGGUCAGCACAUCAUCUAACCAUCCU